This is a long non-coding RNA of Pogoniulus pusillus (Red-fronted tinkerbird), 673 nucleotides long. RefSeq lists it as uncharacterized. The transcript is spliced from 2 exons. NCBI's taxonomy places the organism in Eukaryota, Metazoa, Chordata, Aves, Piciformes, Lybiidae. The record is from RefSeq and is a predicted model, not a curated record.
AGGAAAGGCAGAAGCUCCAAGUUUGCCCAUUUGGGCAGAGGGAUCCUCCUCCUGUCACCACUGGUUCUUUUUUGGCUUGGUCAUGUCACCCUCUCUAGAGAUACUCAAGAACUGGCUGGAUGAGCUCCGACCUGAUCUGCUCUGGAUGAUCCUGCUCUGGCAGAGAGGCUGAACCAGAUGAUCUUUUGAGGUUACUUCAAGCCCCUGACAUUCUGUGAUUCUAUGUGUCCAUAUUCCUUUCACUGGCCAAUCAUACUUGACAUCUUCUUGAGGCACAAAAAGUAACUUGGAUCCAGUUACCUCAAAUGUCUCCAUACAUCAUUAUCUGUAGCUUAAAAUUAUCACCUUUAUAGUGGUGUGGUCCUCAAAGACUCUAGAGAGAACCUAGGGUCAUUCAUGGAAGACAAGCAAUAAUCUGUUUUCAGACUCCUUGUUGAAAAUCCACAUGGUGUUCAGCAGAAUAAUGUGCUUCAGAGGAUGGCAUGUCAUGCUCCAGUAGUGGUGGGAGAGAGUCAAAAAAGCAGGCAAUGAAGCUAGCAAAAUGGCAAUCCUUCUCUGUCUCCAAGUUAGUUUAGGAAAGACUGACUAAAACUGAGUUUACUCUAAAUGCAGAUGCAGGGACUCUGUAGUAAUCUGUAUGAGCAAAACUCAAUAAAGUAUGACCAAGAAUAUA